This 215-nucleotide long non-coding RNA is filed under the name Elaeis guineensis (African oil palm). RNAcentral describes it as "long non-coding RNA (EGUI_LNC043761)". Lineage: Eukaryota; Viridiplantae; Streptophyta; Magnoliopsida; Arecales; Arecaceae. The record is from RNAcentral.
GCAGAGGGAAGACCCUCACUCGAACAUAGAAGAAAAGGAGAGAUGAAAAGAGAAAGCGACGAACUACGCCAGCGAUAAGUGAAAACGAACUACAUCAAAGGCACAAGGGACCUCGUCUCAACGAGGAAGAAAAUCCUUGUCGAAAAUCUCUAGUCCCUAAGGGCGAAUCAGCACAGUGACGAUCGGGAACCUUCAGACAACGCCGACAUCGAGCA